This 480-nucleotide ribosomal RNA is filed under the name uncultured bacterium. RNAcentral describes it as "bacterial SSU rRNA". It matches the Rfam family "Bacterial small subunit ribosomal RNA", at positions 29 to 506 of the family's 1533-position model. The record is from RNAcentral.
UUGAACGCUGGCGGCAUGCCUUACACAUGCAAGUCGAACGGUAACGCGGGGCAACCUGGCGACGAGUGGCGAACGGGUGAGUAAUACAUCGGAACGUGCCCAGUAGUGGGGGAUAGCCCGGCGAAAGCCGGAUUAAUACCGCAUACGACCUAAGGGUGAAAGCAGGGGACCGCAAGGCCUUGCGCUAUUGGAGCGGCCGAUGUCAGAUUAGCUAGUUGGUGGGGUAAAAGCCUACCAAGGCGACGAUCUGUAGCUGGUCUGAGAGGACGACCAGCCACACUGGGACUGAGACACGGCCCAGACUCCUACGGGAGGCAGCAGUGGGGAAUUUUGGACAAUGGGCGCAAGCCUGAUCCAGCCAUACCGCGUGAGUGAAGAAGGCCUUCGGGUUGUAAAGCUCUUUCAGCCGGAAAGAAAACGCAUCCCCUAAUACGGGGUGUGGAUGACGGUACCGGAAGAAGAAGCACCGGCUAACUACGU